Molecule: non-coding RNA, 1170 nt
Organism: Paramuricea clavata
Lineage: Eukaryota; Metazoa; Cnidaria; Anthozoa; Malacalcyonacea; Plexauridae
Source: the annotation of a GenBank genome assembly
CUUGACAAGAGAUCCGAAAUUCUUUGGCUUUCUUUUCGUUUCCUAAAGCUAAAGAGACGACUAGGGACAAGUCAGUCCUUGAAUUGCUUCACCGAUUUUCUGUGAAUUCUGCCCGCUGACGUCAAGACACUAUUUGAACGUAAUUCAACAAGAAUUCCUGUUUUUAAGCAAGUCAACAGCCUUGCACCUAACCUUCUAAAUUAGUUAGUAAUAUACUAAUUUGUAUUUAUUUCUAUCAAGAGUGUGUUUAUCCGAGCCCCAUAUGAAGGGUUAGCCCUGCGAACCUUAGCUGAUUUUCACGGCCCAGUGUGCACCUGAGAUGAACCAGCCUCUUGCCGGGUCUGGUUCAUAUCCACAAACUUACAGCUAAAGGCUGAUUUCUCUUUGAUGGAAAUCUGCCUUAAUUUAUUUUUUCUUGUGAGGUCCAAAAUCAUAUUUUGUGUUGCAGAUUUUCGAAUAAUAACCAACAAACAAUUUAAUAUUGUUCUCGGGCUAAAUGUUUGAAUCGAAAAGCUGAGUUUGACGCAAAUAAGGCGGGUUUUAUACUCAGCCCUCCUAGGAAGGGAUGACCAGCCCACCCUGUCACGUUCAUUUUAGGAAAUUUCCAGCAAUACUACUACGCCACAUCUCGGGGUAGUCAAUAGCAAGAUCUCGCCUAGGGAGCUGGCCCCCUUUCAUAUAUUAACGAAAACAUUUUUCUAGGGAAUCCAAUUAUAAGGCGGAGUGUUGUCCUUUAUGUAGGGCUCAUAUAAACACCUCCUAAUAAGUGGACCAUAAAGAAUUUCAAAUGUUAGUUUUCAACUAAAUUUCAGUUAAUGUACAUUUACACGCUGCGAUUUGUUGUGUUACGAUUCAUAUUUUGGCAUAUGAAAAUUACUGAAGACGCCACAAUCCCUCUUCGUUUAGUUUACAGCGAAAUAUGAAAUGCAAUUACUUUACGCGUACUUUAUUCGACUACAUACGCCAGAAUACAAAUUGUACACAACAAAUCGCAGCAUUUAAACGUACUUUUACUACGUCAAAUAUCCAUAAGAUCAUGUUGAUUCGAUCAUAUCGUUAGUCAGUUAAUUAAAAAAAGAUUUUGUCCCUUGUCAUUCAAGUCGGGUUUCCAUAUUGUCGUAAAGAUAAAGUCACGAUAUUUUUCAACAGCCAGAUUAUAAUAGUUUUUAC